CGCUGGCGGCGUGGAUUAGGCAUGCAAGUCGGACGGUAUACAGGUCUUCGGACCUGUAGAGAGUGGCGAACGGGUGAGUAACGCGUAGGUGAUCUACCUUCAGGUGGGGGACAACCCAGGGAAAACUUGGGCUAAUACCGCAUGUGGCAGCGAUGCUAAAGCCGGCCUCUAUUUAUAAGCUGGUGCCUGGAGCUGAGCCUGCGUCUGAUUAGCUAGUUGGUGGGGUAACGGCCUACCGAGGCGAUGAUAAGUAGGCGGCUUUAACGAGUGGUCGCCCACACUGGGAUUGAGAUACGGCCCAGACUCCUACGGGAGGCAGCAGUCGAGGAUAGUCUACAAUGGUCGAGAGACUGAUAGUGCGACGCCGCGUGGACGAAGAAGCAUUUCGGUGUGUAAAGUUCUUUUCUAUGGGAGCAGCGCAUAGCUGGUGAACAGUCAUUUAUGCGGGAUAUUACUAUAGGAAUAAGCCACGGCUAACUCCGUGCCAGCAGCCGCGGUAAUACGGGGGUGGCGAGCGUUGUCCGGAAUUACUAGGCGUAAAGGGCAGGUAGGCGGUUGUAUAAGUUAAUUGUUAAAUACCCAUGCUCACCACGGGAGGAGCAGUUGAUACUGUAUAACUGGAAGCGAGUGGGGGAAGACGGAAUUCCCGGUGUAGCGGUGGAAUGCGCAGAGAUCGGG
Molecule: ribosomal RNA, 678 nt
Filed under: uncultured bacterium
Lineage: Bacteria
Description: bacterial SSU rRNA
Rfam family: Bacterial small subunit ribosomal RNA
Source: RNAcentral